UACGUAGGGUGCGAGCGUUGUCCGGAAUUAUUGGGCGUAAAGAGCUCGUAGGCGGUGUGUCACGUCGGCCGUGAAAACCUGGGGCUUAACUCUGGGCGUGCGGUCGAUACGGGCAUCACUAGAGUUCGGCAGGGGAGACUGGAAUUCCUGGUGUAGCGGUGAAAUGCGCAGAUAUCGGAAGGAACACCAGUGGCGAAAGCGGCUUCCUGGUCCAGCACCGACGUUCAGGCACGAAAGCGUGGGGAGCAAACAGG
This 254-nucleotide ribosomal RNA is filed under the name uncultured bacterium. RNAcentral's name for it is "partial 16S ribosomal RNA". It matches the Rfam family "Bacterial small subunit ribosomal RNA", at positions 524 to 776 of the family's 1533-position model. The record is from RNAcentral.